This 306-nucleotide long non-coding RNA is filed under the name Olea europaea (common olive). Its description in RNAcentral is "long non-coding RNA (OEUR_LNC005574)". The record is from RNAcentral. Lineage: Eukaryota; Viridiplantae; Streptophyta; Magnoliopsida; Lamiales; Oleaceae.
UUAAUAAGUGUUACAAAUAUGCUGCCAAUAUCUAUAUCAAGCAAGAGAGGGGGAGGGAGAGAGAGAGAGAGAGAGAGCGCAUCAGACAUUCAUCAUGUAUUAUACAAUACAUACCUUGUUGUACAAAAUAACUCCUGAGGACUACAAUAUGUAGACAAAAAGAUACAAGUAGGUCAACAAAUGUUGUUUGCUGACCAUUGUAUCUAUUUAGUUUCCCGUAAGCAAUCACGUCAGGGAGUUCUAGCUGACCAAACUUCGUCAAGACUUAAGUAUUUGAACUCUAGAAGAGUUCUAGACAGAGUUGAG